ACUGGUGUUAAACCUCUACUAUUAUUAUUAUUACUAGAACAAUGACAGAUUUGAGGGAAGAUAUGAGAAACUAUUUAGCACGUUCAGAUACAGAUCAUUCCAAAACAAAGACAGAUUAUAUUGACAUCAUAAAAAAUAGCACAUUUAAAAGUUGGAUAUUUCCAGCAAAGUCUAACGUUAGUGAAGAAACUAACGUACUCAUUGAAGAUUCAGAAUCAAGUGACAUAAACAGAUUGUUUACACAAUCUGAGAAGGAUUCAUGUUUUCCUAGUUUGAGUAAAGGACAGCGAAUAGUUGGAUUUGUGGGAUGUAUUUUAAUUGGCUUUUUUUGUUUCACAUUGGCUGGAUUUUAUGUUCCAUUUCUGUUGUUGAAAUCAAGAAAAUUUGCUCUCUUGUAUAGUCUUGGAAGCUUAUUUAUUAUCUGCAGCUUUUCAUUACUAUGGGGUCCAGUUACUCAUGCCAAGCAUCUGUGUUCCAGGGAAAGAUUGCCAUUUACAAGUAUUUAUUUUGGUACUAUGUUUGCCACCCUUUACUUUGCCUUAUGGGCUAGGAGCACCAUCCCAACAGCAGUUUGUGCAAUAUGCCAAGUUGUAUCAUUGAUCUGGUAUACAAUAAGUUAUGUUCCAGGAGGACAAACAGGACUUCAUUUCUUCUCUAAAAUUUUUACAACUGCUGUCACAAGAAAAGUCAACAAAAACUUGCCAAUUUGAAAUAAUUUAUUUAUCAUUUCCAGUCAAUUUUGGAUCUUCAAUAAUGUGUUACAGAAUAUCUGAAAUUUUGUGAAGGCCUAUGAAGGAAACUUGUUAAUUUUAAAGUAUUAUGUGGAACAUAAUUAUGGCUUGAACAACUCAAUUUGUAAUUGUCGUUAACAGCAGAUAUACUGAUAGAAGUGACAAAAUAUCCUUAAUUAUUUAUUAAACAACUACGUAGCAAUUUGAAAAAGGAUUCCAGAUCCCCACAGAUUGAAAAAAUUCAACAUAAAUUACGAACAGCAUUUUCAAGCCUGAUUGAUUAUGUGGUGCGUAAACAUGAUAGUUUGCGAUGGUCAAGCCACCAGCAUCUAUGCUCUCUCCCGCACCCCAAGGGGACCAGGAUGACAAUGAUCAUGAGAUGUUGAACGUGAUAUUGAAACUGUGUAUUUUUUCUACAUUCCUUAAUUCACUCAAUGUAUAAAAUAUAUAAAUCACCUGUAUGAUAUCUGCAUAUUACUGUAUGGAAAUAAAGCAAACACACAAAAUAACAUGAGCUUUACUGACAAUUUUCGUAAAUGUUGUCGCUGUUGGCAUGGUGACUGGUGAGAUUCUGCCAUAGAGUUAAAAACUGAAAACUGUAAGGGGCCUGGUUUACGUCCUUGAUACUGCAUUGUUGUCUACAGGGGCAAUGAAGUACUAGACACGAUAUCAACACUGCAAACAACCUCUCAGUAAAAUUGAAUACAAGAACAAUUGACAAUUUCUUUUUUACUUUUUAAUAUUUAACAAACUCUGGAGGAAUAACCUUUACAUACUCAAACUGUAAAGAAAGAAACGGAAUACACCUGAUAAGGACUUUUUAACAGUUGUUGCUUUGAAUAUUCGUUUUCAUCCUUUUUUUCUUGUGAACGUCUCUUGCUGAACAUCUUAGCUCCAUACUGGUUAGUCAAAGAGCGCAUCAAGAUCGUCAUCUGCAUCAUUUUUACUAUUAUACAUUUUCAUGUUAAAUAGUGCCAACAUGCUAUCCGUUGCUUUAAAAUCUUUGCAACAGUUACUUCUCAUCAUAAGGUGUGUUGUGAUUCUCAAAAUGGCCUCUAACAUGUGCAGUCCCAUAUGAUUGUGGACCUUGUUUUUAACAGAGGUGACAUGGGAAAAUAUGCAAUCAACAACUGCAUUACUCACUGGGGUGGUCAAACAGGAUAAUGCAUAGGUUGCUAGAUCUUCAUAAACACGUGUGUUGCAAGCAUCUU
This is an RNA transcript of Limulus polyphemus (Atlantic horseshoe crab), 1942 nucleotides long. It is a transcript of the gene named protein transport protein SFT2-like, with no coding region annotated. The record is from RefSeq and is a predicted model, not a curated record. NCBI's taxonomy places the organism in Eukaryota, Metazoa, Arthropoda, Merostomata, Xiphosura, Limulidae. The transcript is spliced from 7 exons.